This 506-nucleotide ribosomal RNA is filed under the name uncultured bacterium. Its description in RNAcentral is "partial 16S ribosomal RNA". It matches the Rfam family "Bacterial small subunit ribosomal RNA", at positions 30 to 523 of the family's 1533-position model. The record is from RNAcentral.
AUUGAACGCUGGCGGCAGGCCUAACACAUGCAAGUCGAGCGGCAGCGGAAAGUAGCUUGCUACUUUGCCGGCGAGCGGCGGACGGGUGAGUAAUGUCUGGGAAACUGCCUGAUGGAGGGGGAUAACUACUGGAAACGGUAGCUAAUACCGCAUAACGUCGCAAGACCAAAGAGGGGGACCUUCGGGCCUCUUGCCAUCAGAUGUGCCCAGAUGGGAUUAGCUAGUAGGGGGGGUAACGGCUCACCUAGGCGACGAUCCCUAGCUGGUCUGAGAGGAUGACCAGCCACACUGGAACUGAGACACGGUCCAGACUCCUACGGGAGGCAGCAGUGGGGAAUAUUGCACAAUGGGCGCAAGCCUGAUGCAGCCAUGCCGCGUGUAUGAAGAAGGCCUUCGGGUUGUAAAGUACUUUCAGCGGGGAGGAAGGUGUUGAGGUUAAUAACCGCGUCGAUUGACGUUACCCGCAGAAGAAGCACCGGCUAACUCCGUGCCAGCCGCCGCUGUAA